This 721-nucleotide long non-coding RNA is filed under the name Monodelphis domestica (gray short-tailed opossum). RNAcentral describes it as "lncRNA (ENSMODG00000048177.1)". Lineage: Eukaryota; Metazoa; Chordata; Mammalia; Didelphimorphia; Didelphidae. The record is from RNAcentral.
CAUAUGUUAUCUGUUAUUGUUUGUUUAUUUAUAAUUUCUUUGAGAACUGCAUUACUGUAUUUCUUUUUAAAAACAUUUUCUUUAUCCUUUGCAGCAUUUCAAAGUUCCCUACGGUGACCUCAUACUGAAGGUCACAAUAGAGAAGCUUCUGAAGAAGAAGAACUUGGGUGGUCUUGGCUAUCUUUCUUUUGUUUUCCCAUAUCAGAAAGUUUUUCAUUACACAAAAAAUAUACAGCUAGCACUCUUACUACUUGAGUUUUAUCAUCUAGAAAAUAAACUGGGAAGGAAAUGUCAAACCACUCCAGCAUCUUUGCCAAGAAAGCCCCAAAUGGAGUCAUGAAGUGUUGGACAUUACAGAAAUGACUCAACAAUAACAAAAGGAUAUAAGAAAGGAGCAGCUAGUUGGCAGAGUGAAGACAGUUCCAGGUCUGCAGUCAGGAAGACACCUCUUCCUAAGUUCAAAUCCAACCUCAGACAAUUACUAGCUGUAAAUAGGUAAGUCACUUAACUUCAUCUGACUCCAUUUCUUCAACUGUAAAAUGAGCUGGAGAGGGAAAUGACAAAUCACUCUAGUAGUUCUACCAGAAAAAAUAUCAAAUGAUGUUUAGAAGUAAAAUAGGAUUUAAACAACUGAACAAGUUCUUACAAUAAUUCAUUGUGCCAAUAUUAUAGCAAUACAAUCACCAAAGAAUCAAAAUAGCAGGUGACAUAAAGGAUGAAU